AGCAGCCGCGGUAAUUCCAGCUCCAAUAGCGUAUAUUAAAGUUGUUGCAGCUAAAAAGCUCGUAGUUGAAUUUCGGGAUUGACACAUCGGUCGUGCCUUAAGGGGUAUGAACUGGUGUAGUCAAUUUCUCACCUUCUGGAGAACCGCGAUGCCCUUAAUUGGGUGUCGCGGGGAACCAGGACCUUUACUUUGAAAAAAUUAGAGUGUUUAAAGCAGGCAUUUUGCUUGAAUACAUUAGCAUGGAAUAAUAAAAUAGGACGGCAUGAUUCUAUUUUGUUGGUUUCUAGGAUCACCGUAAUGAUUAAUAGGGAUAGUUGGGGGCAUUAGUAUUCAAUUGUCAGAGGUGAAAUUCUUGGAUUUAUUGAAGACUAACUACUGCGAAAGCAUUUGCCAAGGAUGUUUUCAUUAAUCAAGAACGAAAGUUAGGGGAUCGAAGACGAUCAGAUACCG
RNAcentral lists this ribosomal RNA (450 nucleotides) under uncultured Glomeromycotina. Its description in RNAcentral is "SSU rRNA". It matches the Rfam family "Eukaryotic small subunit ribosomal RNA", at positions 569 to 1017 of the family's 1831-position model. Lineage: Eukaryota; Fungi; Glomeromycota. The record is from RNAcentral.